RNAcentral lists this ribosomal RNA (253 nucleotides) under uncultured bacterium. RNAcentral describes it as "partial 16S ribosomal RNA". It matches the Rfam family "Bacterial small subunit ribosomal RNA", at positions 524 to 776 of the family's 1533-position model. The record is from RNAcentral.
UACGAAGGGGGCUAGCGUUGUUCGGAAUUACUGGGCGUAAAGCGCGCGCAGGCGGUCUUCCAAGUCAGUGGUGAAAGCCCGGAGCUCAACUCCGGAACUGCCAUUGAAACUGUUAGACUUGAGGAUGAGAGAGGUGAGUGGAAUUCCCAGUGUAGAGGUGAAAUUCGUAGAUAUUGGGAAGAACACCGGUGGCGAAGGCGGCUCACUGGCUCAUUACUGACGCUCAGGCGCGACAGCGUGGGGAUCAAACAGG